This 918-nucleotide ribosomal RNA is filed under the name uncultured bacterium. Its description in RNAcentral is "bacterial SSU rRNA". It matches the Rfam family "Bacterial small subunit ribosomal RNA", at positions 8 to 916 of the family's 1533-position model. The record is from RNAcentral.
AGAGUUUGAUCCUGGCUCAGAUUGAACGCUGGCGGCAGGCUUAACACAUGCAAGUCGAGCGGUAACAGGAAGGAGCUUGCUUCUUUGCUGACGAGCGGCGGACGGGUGAGUAAUGCCUGGGAAUCUGCCUGAUAGUGGGGGAUAACUUGCCGAAAGGUAAGCUAAUACCGCAUACGUCCUACGGGAGAAAGCAGGGGAUCUUCGGACCUUGCGCUAUCAGAUGAGCCCAGGCCGGAUUAGCUAGUUGGUGGGGUAAUGGCCCACCAAGGCGACGAUCCGUAGCUGGUCUGAGAGGAUGAUCAGCCACACCGGGACUGAGACACGGCCCGGACUCCUACGGGAGGCAGCAGUGGGGAAUAUUGGACAAUGGGGGGAACCCUGAUCCAGCCAUGCCGCGUGUGUGAAGAAGGUCUUCGGAUUGUAAAGCACUUUAAGUUGGGAGGAAGGGCUUUAGGUUAAUACCCUGAAGUUUUGACGUUACCAACAGAAUAAGCACCGGCUAACUUCGUGCCAGCAGCCGCGGUAAUACGAAGGGUGCAAGCGUUAAUCGGAAUUACUGGGCGUAAAGCGCGCGUAGGUGGUUUGUUAAGUUGGAAGUGAAAGCCCCGGGCUUAACCUGGGAAUGGCUUUCAAAACUGGCGAGCUAGAGUACGGUAGAGGGUAGUGGAAUUUCCUGUGUAGCGGUGAAAUGCGUAGAUAUAGGAAGGAACAUCAGUGGCGAAGGCGACUACCUGGACUGAUACUGACACUGAGGUGCGAAAGCGUGGGGAGCAAACAGGAUUAGAUACCCUGGUAGUCCACGCCGUAAACGAUGUCAACUAGUUGUUGGGGGCCUUGUGUCCUUAGUAACGCAGCUAACGCGUUAAGUUGACCGCCUGGGGAGUACGGCCGCAAGGUUAAAACUUAAUGAAUUGACGG